This 406-nucleotide ribosomal RNA is filed under the name uncultured bacterium. RNAcentral's name for it is "partial 16S ribosomal RNA". It matches the Rfam family "Bacterial small subunit ribosomal RNA", at positions 30 to 526 of the family's 1533-position model. The record is from RNAcentral.
AUUGAACGCUGGCGGCAGGCCUAACACAUGCAAGUCGAGCGAGCGGCGGACGGGUGAGUAAUGUAUGGGGAUCUGCCCGAUGGAGGGGGAUAACUACUGGGAACGGUGGCUAAUACCGCAUACUCUCGGAUGACCCCAUAUGGGAGUAGCUAGUAGUUGGGGUAAAGGCUCACGUAGGCGCGGAUCUCUAGCUGGUCUGAGAGGAUGAGCAGCCACACUGGGACUGAGACACGGUCCAGACUCCUACGGGAGGCAGCAGUGGGGAAUAUGGCACAAUGGGCGAAAGCCUGAUGCAGCCAUGCCGCGUGUAUGAAGAAGGCCUUAGGGUUGUAAAGUACUUUCAGCGGGGAGGCGUUACCCGCAGAAGAAGCACCGGCUAACUCCGUGCCAGCAGCCGCGGUAAUUC